RNAcentral lists this ribosomal RNA (408 nucleotides) under uncultured bacterium. Its description in RNAcentral is "partial 16S ribosomal RNA". It matches the Rfam family "Bacterial small subunit ribosomal RNA", at positions 28 to 526 of the family's 1533-position model. The record is from RNAcentral.
GACGAACGCUGGCGGCGUGCUUAACACAUGCAAGUCGAACGAAGUGGCGAACGGGUGAGUAAUACGUGGGUAACCUGCCCUCCUUUUUGGGAUAAGCCUUGGAAACGGGGUCUAAUACCGAAUAAAGGGGGAUGGGCUCGCGGCCUGUCAGCUUGUUGGUGGGGUAAUGGCCUACCAAGGCGGUGACGGGGAGCCGGACUGAGAGGGUGACCGGCGACAUAGGGACGGCGAUACGGCCCAGGUGCCUACGGGAGGGGGCAGUGUGGGAUAGUGCACAAUGGGCGACAGCGUGAUGCCGCGACGCCGCAUGGGGGAUGAAGGCUGUCGGGUUGUAAACCUCUUUCGCUAUAGAAAGGGUAGCUGGCCAAGAAGCGCCGGCUAACUACGUGCCAGCAGCCGCGGUAAUAC